RNAcentral lists this transfer RNA (73 nucleotides) under Danio rerio (zebrafish). RNAcentral's name for it is "tRNA-Tyr (GTA) (tRNA-Tyr-GTA-41-1)". It matches the Rfam family "tRNA". From Rfam's summary of the family: Transfer RNA (tRNA) molecules are approximately 80 nucleotides in length. Their secondary structure includes four short double-helical elements and three loops (D, anti-codon, and T loops). The record is from RNAcentral. Lineage: Eukaryota; Metazoa; Chordata; Actinopteri; Cypriniformes; Danionidae.
CCUUCGAUAGCUCAGUUGAUAGAGCGGAGGACUGUAGAUCCUUAGGUCGCUGGUUCGACUCUGGCUCGAAGGA